RNAcentral lists this ribosomal RNA (301 nucleotides) under uncultured bacterium. RNAcentral describes it as "partial 16S ribosomal RNA". It matches the Rfam family "Bacterial small subunit ribosomal RNA", at positions 509 to 807 of the family's 1533-position model. The record is from RNAcentral.
CAGUCGCCGCGGGAAUACGAAGGGUGCAAGCGUUAAUCGGAAUUACUGGGCGUAAAGCGUGCGUAGGUGGUGGUUUAAGUCCGUUGUGAAAGCCCUGGGCUCAACCUGGGAAUUGCAGUGGAUACUGGGUCACUAGAGUGUGGUAGAGGAUAGUGGAAUUUCCGGUGUAGCAGUGAAAUGCGUAGAGAUCGGAAGGAACAUCUGUGGCGAAGGCGACUAUCUGGGCCAACACUGGCACUGAGGCACGAAAGCGUGGGGAGCAAACAGGAUUAGAUACCCCCGUAGUCCCUGUCUCUUAUAC